This 354-nucleotide long non-coding RNA is filed under the name Mytilus galloprovincialis (Mediterranean mussel). The record is from RNAcentral. Lineage: Eukaryota; Metazoa; Mollusca; Bivalvia; Mytilida; Mytilidae.
GGCACAUAUUGAAUUAAUAUCAAAUUCCAUCGCGAUACAACAUGUAGUCAUUGCUCACAGCUACUUCAAAUAAAUGUUUGGUCAGGUUUCAUUGGUUCUUUUACACAGCAGGAUGUUUUUGCAAGGUCCUAUAAAAUGGAAAUUAUUACAAUGCUUCUUGGUUGGUAUCUGUUUUGUAAGAGUUUUUAUCAAAUUACCUUUACAUACUUUUCUUUUUCAGAUGCCCAUCAGUUGUAUAUGGAUGCUCAGACAUGGUAACGCUUAGAUUUUAAUCAUCAGCUUCGUUAGGUGUCCUUAGUGUUGUCAUCAUUGCAUAUACAUAUAAAACCCGAACAAACUUGGAUGUAUCAAGAC